AAACGACAUCGAAAGCUUGCUUUUGAUGGGCGUCGACCGGCGCACGGGUGAGUAACGCGUAUCCAACCUGCCCACCACUUGGGAAUAACCUUGCGAAAGUAAGACUAAUACCCAAUGACGUCUCUAGAAGACAUCUGAAAGGGAUUAAAGAUUUAUCGGUGAUGGAUGGGGAUGCGUCUGAUUAGCUUGUUGGCGGGGUAACGGCCCACCAAGGCUACGAUCAGUAGGGGUUCUGAGAGGAAGGUCCCCCACAUUGGAACUGAGACACGGUCCAAACUCCUACGGGAGGCAGCAGUGAGGAAUAUUGGUCAAUGGACGAGAGUCUGAACCAGCCAAGUAGCGUGCAGGAUGACGGCCCUAUGGGUUGUAAACUGCUUUUAUAAGGGAAUAAAGUGAGUCUCGUGAGACUUUUUGCAUGUACCUUAUGAAUAAGGACCGGCUAAUUCCGUGCCAGCAGCCGCGGUAAUACGGAAGGUCCGGGCGUUAUCCGGAUUUAUUGGGUUUAAAGGGAGCGUAGGCCGGAGAUUAAGCGUGUUGUGAAAUGUAGAUGCUCAACAUCUGCACUGCAGCGCGAACUGGUUUCCUUGAGUACGCACAAAGUGGGCGGAAUUCGUGGUGUAGCGGUGAAAUGCUUAGAUAUCACGAAGAACUCCGAUUGCGAAGGCAGCUCACUGGAGCGCAACUGACGCUGAAGCUCGAAAGUGCGGGUAUCGAACAGGAUUAGAUACCCUGGUAGUCCGCACGGUAAACGAUGGAUGCCCGCUGUUGGUCUGAAUAGGUCAGCGGCCAAGCGAAAGCAUUAAGCAUCCCACCUGGGGAGUACGCCGGCAACGGUGAAACUCAAAGGAAUUGACGGAAG
This 859-nucleotide ribosomal RNA is filed under the name uncultured bacterium. RNAcentral's name for it is "bacterial SSU rRNA". It matches the Rfam family "Bacterial small subunit ribosomal RNA", at positions 64 to 919 of the family's 1533-position model. The record is from RNAcentral.